CGCAUAGCCGGUUGAGGCGAAUUCGGUGAUCCUCUGCUGCCAAGAAAAGCCUCUAGCGAGCACACACACGGCCCGUACCCGAAACCGACUCAGGUGGUCAGGUAGAGAAUACCAAGGAGAUUGAGAGAAUCGUGGUUAAGGAACUCGGCAAAAUGCCCCCGUAACUUCGGGAGAAGGGGGACCGGAAUAUCGUGAACACCCUUGCGGUGGGAGCGGGAUCCGGUCGCAGAAACCAGUGAGGAGCGACUGUUUACUAAAAACACAGGUCCGUGCCAAGUCGCAAGACGAUGUAUACGGACUGACGCCUGCCCGGUGCUGGAAGGUUAAGAGGAGGGGUUAACGCGCAAGGGCGAAGCUCUGAAUUUAAGCCCCAGUAAACGGCGGCCGUAACUAUAACGGUCCUAAGGUAGCGAAAUUCCUUGUCGGGUAAGUUCCGACCUGCACGAAUGGCGUAACGACUUCCCCACUGUCUCAACCGCGAACUCGGCGAAAUUGCAUUACGAGUAAAGAUGCUCGUUACGCGCAGCAGGACGGAAAGACCCCGUGACCUUUACUACAGCUUGGUAUUGGUGUUCGGUGUGGCUUGUGUAGGAUAGGUGGGAGGCUAUGAAGCAUGGACGCCAGUUCAUGUGGAGUCAUUGUUGAAAUACCACUCUGGUCACUCUGGAUAUCUAACUUCGAACCGUGAAUCCGGUUCAGGAACAGUGCCUGGUGGGUAGUUUAACUGGGGCGGUUGCCUCCCAAAAAGUAACGGAGGCGCCCAAAGGUUCCCUCAACCUGGUUGGCAAUCAGGUGUCGAGUGUAAGUGCACAAGGGAGCUUGACUGUGAGACUGACAGGUCGAGCAGAGACGAAAGUCGGCCAUAGUGAUCCGGUGGUGGCUCGUGGAAGCGCCAUCGCUCAACGGAUAAAAGGUACUUUAGGGAUAACAGGCUGAUUUUGCCCAAGAGUCCAUAUCGACGGCAAAGUUUGGCACCUCGAUGUCGGCUCAUCACAUCCUGGGGCUGGAGUAGGUCCCAAGGGUACGGCUGUUCGCCGUUUAAAGUGGUACGUGAGCUGGGUUCAGAACGUCGUGAGACAGUUUGGUCCCUAUCUGCUGUGGGUGUACGAAGUUUGAGAGGAUCUGACCCUAGUACGAGAGGACCGGGUUGGACAUACCUCUGGUGUGCCAGUUGUUCUGCCAAGAGCACCGCUGGUUAGCUACGUUCGGGAUGGAUAACCGCUGAAAGCAUCUAAGCGGGAAACCUUCUCCAAGAUCAGGUUUCUCACCCACUUGGUGGGAUAAGGCCCCCCGCAGAACACGGGUUCAAUAGGUCAGACCUGGAAGCUCAGUAAUGGGUGUAGGGAACUGGUGCUAACCGGCCGAAAACUUACAACA
This 1377-nucleotide ribosomal RNA is filed under the name Mycobacterium tuberculosis. RNAcentral describes it as "bacterial LSU rRNA". It matches the Rfam family "Bacterial large subunit ribosomal RNA", at positions 1567 to 2925 of the family's 2925-position model. Lineage: Bacteria; Bacillati; Actinomycetota; Actinomycetes; Mycobacteriales; Mycobacteriaceae. The record is from RNAcentral.